UACUCCUACGGGAGGCAGCAGUAGGGAAUCUUCGGCAAUGGACGGAAGUCUGACCGAGCAACGCCGCGUGAGUGAAGAAGGUUUUCGGAUCGUAAAGCUCUGUUGUAAGAGAAGAACGAGUGUGAGAGUGGAAAGUUCACACUGUGACGGUAUCUUACCAGAAAGGGACGGCUAACUACGUGCCAGCAGCCGCGGUAAUACGUAGGUCCCGAGCGUUGUCCGGAUUUAUUGGGCGUAAAGCGAGCGCAGGCGGUUAGAUAAGUCUGAAGUUAAAGGCUGUGGCUUAACCAUAGUACGCUUUGGAAACUGUUUAACUUGAGUGCAAGAGGGGAGAGUGGAAUUCCAUGUGUAGCGGUGAAAUGCGUAGAUAUAUGGAGGAACACCGGUGGCGAAAGCGGCUCUCUGGCUUGUAACUGACGCUGAGGCUCGAAAGCGUGGGGAGCAAACAGGAUUAGAUACCCUGGUAGUCCACGCCGUAAACGAUGAGUGCUAGGUGUUAGACCCUUUCCGGGGUUUAGUGCCGUAGCUAACGCAUUAAGCACUCCGCCUGGGGAGUACGACCGCAAGGUUGAAACUCAAAGGAAUUGACGA
Molecule: ribosomal RNA, 591 nt
Filed under: uncultured bacterium
Lineage: Bacteria
Description: bacterial SSU rRNA
Rfam family: Bacterial small subunit ribosomal RNA
Source: RNAcentral